Molecule: long non-coding RNA, 1897 nt
Filed under: Canis lupus familiaris (dog)
Lineage: Eukaryota; Metazoa; Chordata; Mammalia; Carnivora; Canidae
Description: lncRNA (ENSCAFG00000031058.3)
Source: RNAcentral
UUGUAAAAAUAAAAGGACUGCAGUUGCGUGGCCCUAAAAGCCGUGGAGGGCCUAAGGCCUCGAAGCACAAGAUGGUGACCAGGAGCAGCCCGGAGGCCAAGGGCCUAGGCCCUUCAUUGGCGGCUGAGCACGUCAGUCCCUGCUUGUCGACGAAUGAGCGCGCGCCCAUUGUUGACGCGCCAGGCCCCGCCCCCCGCCGCAGCCUCGCGGAAUCCCGGCCGCGCCGUCCGCUGUCCCCCGAGGGGAGGCCUGGGCGGGCCGCUCCUGACCUCCGCUCCCUUCCUUUCCCGUCGCGGACCUCCCCGGGCUCUGCCACAGACUGUCGUCCCCUCGGUGGGCGGCUCCUCGGCCGCCCGGCCCGCCCCGCUUCGGGCCGCGCUGCCCAGGGCCUCCGGUCUGCGGCGGCCCAGCCGACGGCCACCGUCUUCGCCCUCGGCGUCGCCUCCGCCCGGCCGACGCCCCAGCGAGGCGCUGCCCGGUGCCAUGUCCGCCUCCGGAGACCCAGGCCAGGCCCCAGGAGGCCAGGAUAGCCCCGUGGGCGCCGUGGGGGCGUGGGCCCCAGUGGCCGCUGGCGGUGGCGGCGGCGGCAACGGGGUGGUCCUCGAGUCCGGGCCCCAGCAGGCGCAGGCGGCCGGAGUCACCGGGUCGGCGGGAGGCGUCGGCAUGGAGGUCGUGGGUCUCCAUCUGGCCAUCGACCCCGAGGGCGGCGGCGCCCACGCCGAGGAGGCCGAGGACGACUCGGACUUCGGGCCGGCGGACGAGGACGGGGAGGAGGCGCCGGAGGACGACCUGGACAUCCUGGUGGACGCCCAUCAGUUCCCCAUGGUCAGUUUCCGUUUCAUGUUCCUGGACUUGGUGCACUCGCUGCUGCACCGCAUCAACUGCAACAACCAUAUCCUCGUGCGGCCCCGCGGCGGCGGCAUGGUGGUCCCACCCCAGCCUCAGCUACGCGACAGCCUGGGCCAGCACCCCGUGCCCCUGGCUGCGCUGCCUACACCUGCAGCGGCCGCCGACGUCCACGAGUCCGAGGCCUCGUCCGAGGAGGAGGCCGACUGGGAGACGGCGGAGGAGCCGGACGAGGAGCCGGAGAUGGGGCCGGCGGCCGCCGAUGGGACAACUCCAUACCAGUAUGAAAACUCUGACAAAGAGGCCCAAGGCUCUGAGAGGGGGAAAGAAAAAGAGAAAUUUGACAAUAAACAAGACGGACCUAACUAGAAGGGAUCCGGCCCAACAGAGAACAGGGCCAGAAAAUCCAGAAGCCCGUGGGAAUUUUAUUAACACCAAUUCGGCAUUCCAAACUGCAUCACCAAAAAGACUCCUCUCUUACUUGUGACUGGUAUAUUUGACAGCAUUUGUUCUGGUUAAAAAUAAAUUUGUUUUAAAUUAAUAAGAUGGAACAUAAGCAGAUUUUAUUUAGAUAGAUUAUCCUGACUCAAAUCUUUUUCCUCUGUGUUUUGAUCCACUUCACCUUCACUGACACGUAUCGCCCUCCACCAUGCGGUGCGCCUACUUUAAAUGGUUUUAUUACAGUCCAAAAUAAGUUAAAAUGUUAAGUGUAAAACAAUUUUUGUAAGGAGAGAGAUGUAGGUCAAGCCUUUAGAGCUACACUGUCUACUACGUUAGUGAUUAGCCAUACGUGGCUACUGAAAUAUGGCUAGUCUAAUUUGAAGUGUGCUGUUAAGUAUAAAACAUUACAUUUAAGUCACUGAUGAUUUUAUACUGAUUACAUGUUAAAACAAUAGUAUAGGGCAGCCCGGUGCUGCAGCGGUUUAGCGCCGCCUGCAGCCCAGGGUGUGAUCCUGGAGACCCUGGAUCGAGUCCCGCGUCAGGCUCUGCAUGGAGCCUGCUUCUCCUUCUGCCUGUGUCUCUGCCUCUCUGUCUCUCAUGAAUAAAUAAA